Molecule: transfer RNA, 88 nt
Filed under: Maritimibacter sp.
Lineage: Bacteria; Pseudomonadati; Pseudomonadota; Alphaproteobacteria; Rhodobacterales; Roseobacteraceae
Description: tRNA-Ser
Rfam family: tRNA
About the family: Transfer RNA (tRNA) molecules are approximately 80 nucleotides in length. Their secondary structure includes four short double-helical elements and three loops (D, anti-codon, and T loops). Further hydrogen bonds mediate the characteristic L-shaped molecular structure. tRNAs have two regions of fundamental functional importance: the anti-codon, which is responsible for specific mRNA codon recognition, and the 3' end, to which the tRNAs corresponding amino acid is attached (by aminoacyl-tRNA synthetases). tRNAs cope with the degeneracy of the genetic code in two manners: having more than one tRNA (with a specific anti-codon) for a particular amino acid; and 'wobble' base-pairing, i.e. permitting non-standard base-pairing at the 3rd anti-codon position.
Source: RNAcentral
GCCCGCAUGGCGGAAUGGUAGACGCAGCGGUCUUGAAAACCGAGUUCCUAGGCGGGAAGUGCAGGUUCGAAUCCUGUUGCGGGCACCA